CAGCAGUAGCCGCGGUAAUACGUAGGGUGCGAGCGUUAAUCGGAAUUACUGGGCGUAAAGCGUGCGCAGGCGGUUGUGCAAGACAGAUGUGAAAUCCCCGAGCUUAACUUGGGAACUGCAUUUGUGACUGCACGGCUAGAGUGUGUCAGAGGGGGGUGGAAUUCCACGUGUAGCAGUGAAAUGCGUAGAUAUGUGGAGGAAUACCGAUGGCGAAGGCAGCCCCCUGGGAUAACACUGACGCUCAUGCACGAAAGCGUGGGGAGCAAACAGGAUUAGAUACCCCCGUAGUCCCUGUCUCUUAUAC
Molecule: ribosomal RNA, 304 nt
Filed under: uncultured bacterium
Lineage: Bacteria
Description: partial 16S ribosomal RNA
Rfam family: Bacterial small subunit ribosomal RNA
Source: RNAcentral